This is a non-coding RNA of Pimephales promelas (fathead minnow), 1598 nucleotides long. Lineage: Eukaryota; Metazoa; Chordata; Actinopteri; Cypriniformes; Leuciscidae. The record is from RefSeq and is a predicted model, not a curated record.
CUGGAAGUGUAAUUAAAAGUCUAAUUAAGUAAUUUUAGCAUUAAUUCUUGGCUUGUAGUUGUUUACUCUUUUGAUUUAAUUGCAUUUUAAAUAAUUUUUUCACAUAGUUUUAAAUGCUCACAUUAUUUGAAAAUAUUGAUUUAUAAAGAAAACCAAAUGAUCUUAAUUCUUAGUAUGGUAAGAAUUCUUAGUAUCUAGGAAUUUACAUAAAAAUCUAUUUUCACUUGUAUACAGUGGAGGGCGCUAUUAUGCAUCUUCUGAAAGAGUACAGAAUUUCCAGAUUAAAAUACAGGCGAAUAAGAAUCAGAAACAAGAGGGCAAACUCCAAAUGGAGGUGAGCAUCCCUAUCCCCUACUCAAGGGCAGAGCCUUGAAGUGGGGACUUUGAAGGGAGCAGGACACUGGCGUACCAUUAUGUAGUUGUUAGGAACACACUUGGUGAAGGGAGCAGUGAAAUGCCACUUAAUUUCCUCAUUACCUUCACCUGGGAGUGUUCCCAUAACAAGGCAGCACGGGGUCCAUCAGCGGAUUAGCUAUUCUUAUGAAAGAAAUGUCUUUUUAUUGCUGUUAACAUAAGAGUUGCAAAUAAAUAUACAUUUAUAUUCAUUGGUUUAAAAUGUGUUAUAUGUGUGUGUGAGAGUGUAUGUCUUCACUCUCAAAUAACUUGCCGCCUCAUCUUUGGACCAUACAUUACCUAACAAAUUUCUUACCUAUGAAACUUAUUUAAACAACACAUGACAAAAAUGUGUGAAAUAUAUCACAAAAAACAUCACAACUUGAAUUUCUCUGUUUGUAAGUCAACUCGAACUAGACUUGGCUUUCUUGCAAAGUCAAAACCUGAGAUUAAACCCCCUACAAUAAAACAACAAAACGGACCCCUGGAGGGAAAGCGUGAGAGAAAGAACACAGGACACCUCCUUGUCCAGACGUAUCUCAUUGCUUAUCUAUGCAACCACCCUCUACCGACUCCCUUCCCCCCGAUUAAAGUCACUUAGAAUUUCUGUAUUGUUUUUUCCUUUCAUAUCUGGUAGUAUUUUAAAUGUCUAAGUGUGAUUGGUAAAAUGGUCUAAUUUUUUUUAAACUAGUAUACUGUGAAGGAUACAGAGAAGGUGGCACACGACAAUCCCAUCUUUCCCAAAUGUGCACAUCCACUCACAGCAUCCAAUGAACAAAAGGAAUGGUUUCAACAAGUGUCUGUCCACAAAAUUGAACAAAUACUGUGCAACAAGAGGGUUCUCAAAGAUGUGAAGAAACUCAGUCAUCAUUUCCAGACAUCUUCCCUGGAGGCAUUCCAUAGCCUAAUUCUUCGUUUUACACCUAAAAAUGUAGUGUUCCCUUUCAUUGGAAUGUUGUGCAGGUAAUACAGAGAUAAACUUGGUAUUUUCAAUAAUAUUUAAAGUAGAUCUUGCCUUUAACCGGUCUAUUUUGUUCUGGCAGACUAUACCUUGCCGUGCUUCAUCAUAACGAAAAUGCCAACAGGGAACAAGCCACAACAUCAACAGGACCAGGGGGUUUACAAAAUUGUGUUCCCGAAAUCCAAAAAAGGGGCAUGCAUAGCACGGCCAAAAAAAAAAAAAAAAAAGGAACCAAACUUUAUUA